ACUAUGGACUAUCUUUGGUCACUCUCUCAAUGGUGAUAGAAUGUGGAACAUGAAUUUGUGUUCUUAAUUUUGGGGUACUUGUAAGUUGUAACUCCUUUCUAUCUGGUCUCGAAAUUGAAAUCGAUCUAUCUUUCACCAAUGAGAUCGAAGUACACUAACACCUUUUUCCAUGAUAGAAAGCCCUUCCAUUCUAACGGUGUUUGCACUCAAAAGAAAGACAAAAAAAAAUAAAAAUGAUACUGUGAAAAAAGACUCUUGAAAUUCAAGAUGCUGUGCGAGUAACAUGGCAACACCAUAUUUAUAGCCUCUUAAACAGCCAAAAUCCCAUAAGAUCAGCUCAAAAUCAGAAAAAAUCCUG
This 358-nucleotide long non-coding RNA is filed under the name Trifolium pratense (red clover). Its description in RNAcentral is "long non-coding RNA (TPRA_LNC004771)". Lineage: Eukaryota; Viridiplantae; Streptophyta; Magnoliopsida; Fabales; Fabaceae. The record is from RNAcentral.